RNAcentral lists this ribosomal RNA (447 nucleotides) under uncultured bacterium. Its description in RNAcentral is "bacterial SSU rRNA". It matches the Rfam family "Bacterial small subunit ribosomal RNA", at positions 355 to 825 of the family's 1533-position model. The record is from RNAcentral.
UCGGGAAUUUUGGGCAAUGGGCGAAAGCCUGACCCAGCAACGCCGCGUGAAGGAUGAAGUAUUUCGGUAUGUAAACUUCGAAAGAAUAGGAAGAAUAAAUGACGGUACUAUUUGUAAGGUCCGGCUAACUACGUGCCAGCAGCCGCGGUAAUACGUAGGGACCAAGCGUUGUCCGGAUUUAUUGGGUUUAAAGGGUGCGUAGGCGGUUUAUUAAGUCAGUGGUGAAAGACGGUCGCUCAACGAUUGCAGUGCCAUUGAUACUGGUAGACUUGAGUAUGAUUGAGGUAGCUGGAAUGGAUAGUGUAGCGGUGAAAUGCAUAGAUAUUAUCCAGAACACCAAUUGCGUAGGCAAGUUACUAAGUCAUAACUGACGCUGAGGCACGAAAGUGUGGGUAUCAAACAGGAUUAGAUACCCCGGUAGUCCCUGAGCGGGCUGGCAAGGCGCAU